This 75-nucleotide transfer RNA is filed under the name Myxococcales bacterium. Its description in RNAcentral is "tRNA-Lys". It matches the Rfam family "tRNA". Rfam says of the family: Transfer RNA (tRNA) molecules are approximately 80 nucleotides in length. Their secondary structure includes four short double-helical elements and three loops (D, anti-codon, and T loops). Lineage: Bacteria; Pseudomonadati; Myxococcota; Myxococcia; Myxococcales. RNAcentral also lists the same sequence under 1 other name. The record is from RNAcentral.
GAGCUGGUAGCAAACGUUGGCUUUGCAGCGGUUUCUUAAACCGUCCCGACGUGGGUUCGAUUCCCACCCGGCUCA